RNAcentral lists this ribosomal RNA (466 nucleotides) under uncultured bacterium. RNAcentral describes it as "partial 16S ribosomal RNA". It matches the Rfam family "Bacterial small subunit ribosomal RNA", at positions 28 to 507 of the family's 1533-position model. The record is from RNAcentral.
GACGAACGCUGGCGGUGUGCUUAACACAUGCAAGUCGAACGGUAAGGCCCUUUCGGGGGUCCACGAGUGGCGAACGGGUGAGUAACACGUGAGUAACCUGCCCUCAUCUCUGGGAUAACAGUCGGAAACGGUUGCUAAUACUGGAUAUGAGCUUGCAAGGCAUCUUGUGGGUUGGAAAGAUUUUUUUGGUUGGGGACGGACUCGCGGCCUAUCAGCUUGUUGGUGAGGUAGUGGCUCACCAAGGCUUCGACGGGUAGCCGGCCUGAGAGGGCGACCGGCCACAUUGGGACUGAGAUACGGCCCAAACUCCUACGGGAGGCAGCAGUGGGGAAUAUUGCACAAUGGACGGAAGUCUGAUGCAGCAACGCCGCGUGCGGGAUGACGGCCUUCGGGUUGUAAACCGCUUUCAAUUGUGACGAAGCUUUUUGUGACGGUAGCAGUAGAAGAAGCACCGGCUAACUACGUG